This is a long non-coding RNA of Ctenocephalides felis (cat flea), 923 nucleotides long. RefSeq lists it as uncharacterized. The transcript has 8 exons. The record is from RefSeq and is a predicted model, not a curated record. Lineage: Eukaryota; Metazoa; Arthropoda; Insecta; Siphonaptera; Pulicidae.
UUGCGAUAGUUCAUUUCCAUCGUGGCGAUUGCUGGAAGAAGACAUCGAGACGUCGUCGAACACGGACGAGCGGGCCUGACCCUUCGCUGCCUGUGGAGUAGGUGCGACCUGCGAGUCACCUGGUGCGGAUGAAAUCACAAUGGAGGCCACAAAAAUCAUAUCAAGCAAAUUGUUGAGAAUCGAAUGGCCAAGUAUCGAGUGAAAAUUGAACACUGACUCACUUCACCGGGAAUCGCUCUGAAAAUAAUUCAAAAAUUUCUUUCUACUACUGCUGCUCUGUACACUGACCCCUUCACCAGGAAUCGCUCUGAAUAUAAUUCAAAAAGUACUUUCAACCACUGCUGCUCUGCACACUGACCCCUUCACCAGGAAUCGCUCUGAAAAUAAUUUAAAAAGUACUUUCAACCACUGCUGCUCUGCACGCUGACUCACUUCACCAGGAAUCUUUCCAGAAACAUGUUACCAGAUCUUCUCGAUCCAACUAUUACUGCCCUGAAGCCUUAAAAUCAAGAACACUCAUUCAUGUGAAUGGCUCGCAAGUGGUUUUUUUCAAUGACUGUCUAUAAUUAUGCAUGAUUAACUUAACUCUUAUUAACUCAAUAACAUGACUAACCUCACUAACUUAAUUAGGCAGUUAAUAUAAAAACCACUUGUUGAGUUUUACUAUGAAGGUCUUAAUGGGGUUACGUGGAAGACACCGCUGCAUGAUUAAUCAGAGUAAACAACUUCAAGCCAAGUGCUCUUCAACGCUCAAGUUGCUCAUGAGUGAAAACAAUCAUUUGAUCUACUAAUUAUGCUGUCCGUCCGUCCGUCCGUCCGUCCGUCCGUCUCUUCACCAGAGAAGAUGCCUACUAUGAUUUAUUAAAUAGUUAAGUGCUUAGAUGUUAAUGAAAUAAUGAAUAAAUAUAUUGUAUUUAAUUUAA